This 267-nucleotide long non-coding RNA is filed under the name Setaria viridis. RNAcentral's name for it is "long non-coding RNA (SVIR_LNC004111)". The record is from RNAcentral. Lineage: Eukaryota; Viridiplantae; Streptophyta; Magnoliopsida; Poales; Poaceae.
GGUUUGAUGAUUGAAGAAGGAACACAGGAGACGAUACACGUGGGCUUGACCGUGGAUGAUGAUGGACAGCGAGAGGUUCGGUUGGCCUGUCGCCGCGCCGUUGCCGGAGACGACCGACGUCUCCAGUGCCAAUCAUCGCCUGGAUUACUGAUUGGAGUGGCACAAACAACUUCUUUCAUCGAUGAAGUUGGUUAUUAGGCGCGCGCGCGCGGCAGAGAUGAGAUCCAAAGAUCGAGUUCUCCGCGAGACGCUUCUUUGUUCCUUUCC